This 95-nucleotide ribosomal RNA is filed under the name Candidatus Fimimorpha excrementavium. Its description in RNAcentral is "partial 23S ribosomal RNA". It matches the Rfam family "Bacterial large subunit ribosomal RNA", at positions 2830 to 2925 of the family's 2925-position model. Lineage: Bacteria; Bacillati; Bacillota; Clostridia; Eubacteriales. The record is from RNAcentral.
AAGACCCCUUGAAGAACACGAGGUAGAUAGGGCAGAGGUGGAAGUACAGUAAUGUAUGGAGCUGACUGUUACUAAUCGGUCGAGGGCUUAACCGA